GGAGAGAUGGCUGAGUGGUCUAAAGCGCUCGCCUGCUAAGCGAGUGUCGUUUUACGGCGCGAGGGUUCGAAUCCCUCUCUCUCCACCA
This 88-nucleotide transfer RNA is filed under the name bacterium. RNAcentral's name for it is "tRNA-Ser". It matches the Rfam family "tRNA". Rfam says of the family: Transfer RNA (tRNA) molecules are approximately 80 nucleotides in length. The record is from RNAcentral. RNAcentral also lists the same sequence under 1 other name.